GAGGCACAGAUAUCCCCUACGCGGCCCUUUCUUAGCGCUCGCUCCGGAGGAAACACCUAUAGCUGGGAUAAGGACAAAGAGGGAGGGAGUCCCAGCACAAAGGCACACAUCAAACUGGCCUGCCAUCACCAUGGUAACACCAUCAGCAGCAGCUCUGUGAAACCGGGACGAGGAAGCUGUUCCACCGCCAUGUCCUGCCUCACCAACUAAGUGGUAGCCUCCAGAUAAAAAGGAAAACUGGAGCCAGAGCGGUCCAAGUCCCCAGGCUCAAUUCUGUCCUGAGCCCCCCCUUGUUUCCUUAAGGGUCACUUAGAAGAUUAUCUUUUCUCCAAAUUCCCCUGAUUGUCAUCCCCCUAAUGGAGGGUGUCCUUCAUCCUAGAAGUCAGCCGUCGUGACUUAACAUUUUAACCUUGGCCCUUCCUAGACUGUCUGAACUAGAUGGAACCUCUGAGGUCUAGUUCACACUCCUCUCCCAUUAUCAAGAGGAAGGCAGGGAUGCCUGGCAUGUCUCACGAUUUGCCAAGGUUCUGCAUUGUGUCUGUGCAGAACCCGUGCCCGGACCAUAGCUUCCUGGCCUCUGCUUCAUUGUGAUCUGAACAUUCUAGAACGUAUCUGCCUCCCACUGUCACAUUCCAGACCCAGUCCCGUUGGAGGGAUGGGAUAUCUUUCCUCCUCCUAGUGUCCUUGAGGCAGGCAAGCUUAGAGGUAUCUUAGCAACCCGGGGAGUCGACUUGACUCAGGCUACACACUACUCACUUGCCUCCUAACAAUGCAUCUAGAAUCCCAGGACUCUGUAUCGAGCUGCGUAUACACCCCACCUCAAACAGUGGGAUAAGUCUCUUCCCCCUUAACGUAUCCUCUGCCAAUCACCCCCUAAAGAAAGAUCUGUCUCAUUUAACGGUUCCUGCCCGUGUCAGUCAGCUGUCUGUUGUGAAACAGUCUGUCAAACGCAUAUGGAAGAAAGGUUUGCCCUGGCUUACAGUUUCCGAAGCUUCAGUCCACGCUCACUUGUCCUCGGUGCUUUGGACCUGUGGCGCCUAUUACCAGACAGGACAGCGAGGCUGCAGAUACCAGCACAGUGGACAGCCAGCAGGCUCCUCACAGCCCUGGGAUCUUAUGCAGAUCAGAGCUCUCAGCCUGGGCCAGAGAAGACUGGCCGGAGUCCUGAGAUUACGUGACGACUGAGUGUCCAGCCCCAAACAGGACAUCUAUAGCUCUUCCCUCCUAGACCCAAGAGCACUGCAGAAGGAGCAGAAAGAAUUCAUCCCAGGUAGGCAUGAGGGUCAGCAGUUGGACCAAGGAAGGUCCUCGUGAUAUCUAGAAGAGAUCUGGAACCGGUCCCUGACUCAAGAUACCUUCCAGGGCUCCAAGCACAGAGCCGGGUGAGGAUGGCUUUGAAUCCACGAGUCCCAGGAAUCUGUAAAGCCCUUAGUUGGGAAGGCAGUGCUGGAUUCCUGACUCCAAGGUGACGUGAGAAGGAGGCGCCAGCUUUGGGAGGGAUUUGGUCAUAGGAGCCUGUAUAAAUGCGACCUGCACUUCAUGAAAGAGGCUCCAGAGAGCCACAUUGCCUCUUCCCCCAAGUGAUGGCACAGAAACAGAUGUUAUCCAAGAACGAAGAAAUGAGCUUCAGCCCGAAACAUUAAAUUUACCCAACGCCUUGAGCUUGGACCUCUUAGCCUUUAGAACUGUGCAAAAUAAUUUCUAUUGGUUAUAACCAUCCAGUCCAAGGAAUUCAGCUACAGAGUUCUGAAGAGACGACGGUAAUAUGGUUGUAAACAA
Non-coding RNA from Peromyscus maniculatus bairdii (prairie deer mouse), 1779 nucleotides. The record is from RefSeq and is a predicted model, not a curated record. NCBI's taxonomy places the organism in Eukaryota, Metazoa, Chordata, Mammalia, Rodentia, Cricetidae.